This 253-nucleotide ribosomal RNA is filed under the name uncultured bacterium. RNAcentral describes it as "partial 16S ribosomal RNA". It matches the Rfam family "Bacterial small subunit ribosomal RNA", at positions 524 to 776 of the family's 1533-position model. The record is from RNAcentral.
UACGUAGGGGGCAAGCGUUGUCCGGAAUUACUGGGCGUAAAGGGUGCGUAGGUGGUUGUCUAAGUCAGAUGUGAAAUCCCCGGGCUUAACUCGGGUGGUGCAUUUGAAACUGGGCGACUAGAGUGCAGGAGAGGGAAGCGGAAUUCCUAGUGUAGCGGUGAAAUGCGUAGAUAUUAGGAGGAACACCAGUGGCGAAGGCGGCUUUCUGGACUGUAACUGACACUGAGGCACGAAAGCGUGGGGAGCAAACAGG